RNAcentral lists this ribosomal RNA (253 nucleotides) under uncultured bacterium. RNAcentral describes it as "partial 16S ribosomal RNA". It matches the Rfam family "Bacterial small subunit ribosomal RNA", at positions 524 to 776 of the family's 1533-position model. The record is from RNAcentral.
UACGGGGGGGGCAAGCGUUGUUCGGAAUUAUUGGGCGUAAAGGGCGCGUAGGCGGCUUUGCAAGUGGCGGGUGAAAUCCCUCGGCUUAACCGAGGAACUGCCUGCCAGACUGCAAGGCUCGAGACCGGGAGAGGUGAGUGGAAUUCCCAGUGUAGCGGUGAAAUGCGCAGAUAUCAGGAGGAACACCGGUGGCGAAGGCGGUUCUCUGGGAGUUACCUGACGCUGAGGAGCGAAAGUGUGGGGAGCGAACAGG